This is a long non-coding RNA of Pogoniulus pusillus (Red-fronted tinkerbird), 305 nucleotides long. RefSeq lists it as uncharacterized. The transcript is spliced from 3 exons. NCBI's taxonomy places the organism in Eukaryota, Metazoa, Chordata, Aves, Piciformes, Lybiidae. The record is from RefSeq and is a predicted model, not a curated record.
GGAGGGGAGGCUGCCAGGGCCGCGGUGCUUGGGAGGCACAGCGAAUCCCCGCUGCUGCCGGCGUUGCUUCUCCCCGCGCUAGCCACCAGGACCUCUCUGGAAGGGGAAGGCCUGUCGAGGCUCAUAGUGCAGGUUCCAAUUCCUGAAACUGAAUCUAAGUGAAGCCCCAGGCUCUUCUGUGCUUAUAUACAGGAUCCCUUCUCAUAAAAGCCUGCACCUUCUAAAGAGACCCUUUGCCUCGCUCUUUCCCUGCCUCACCAACACAGAAACGAGAAGAGAUCUGAAGCUGUUGGCUUACCUGUAGC